RNAcentral lists this ribosomal RNA (317 nucleotides) under uncultured bacterium. Its description in RNAcentral is "bacterial SSU rRNA". It matches the Rfam family "Bacterial small subunit ribosomal RNA", at positions 28 to 334 of the family's 1533-position model. The record is from RNAcentral.
GACGAACGCUGGCGGCGCGCCUAACACAUGCAAGUCGAACGGAGUUACAUUGAAAGCUUGCUGGAUAUGUAACUUAGUGGCGGACGGGUGAGUAACGCGUAAGCAAUCUGCCUAUCAGAGGGGAAUAACAGUGAGAAAUCACUGCUAAUACCGCAUAAGCUGUGAGUAUCGCAUGAUACAAGCAGAAAAGGAGCAAUCCGCUGAUAGAUGGGCUUGCGUCUGAUUAGUUAGUUGGUAGGGUAACGGCCUACCAAGACGAUGAUCAGUAGCUGGACUGAGAGGUUGAACGGCCACAUUGGGACUGAGAUACGGCCCAG